RNAcentral lists this ribosomal RNA (362 nucleotides) under uncultured bacterium. RNAcentral describes it as "partial 16S ribosomal RNA". It matches the Rfam family "Bacterial small subunit ribosomal RNA", at positions 355 to 709 of the family's 1533-position model. The record is from RNAcentral.
UGGGGAAUAUUGGACAAUGGGCGAAAGCCUGAUCCAGCCAUGCCGCGUGUGUGAAGAAGGUCUUCGGAUUGUAAAGCACUUUAAGUUGGGAGGAAGGGCAUUAACCUAAUACGUUAGUGUUUUGACGUUACCGACAGAAUAAGCACCGGCUAACUCUGUGCCAGCAGCCGCGGUAAUACAGAGGGUGCAAGCGUUAAUCGGAAUUACUGGGCGUAAAGCGCGCGUAGGUGGUUUGUUAAGUUGGAUGUGAAAUCCCCGGGCUCAACCUGGGAACUGCAUUCAAAACUGACUGACUAGAGUAUGGUAGAGGGUGGUGGAAUUUCCUGUGUAGCGGUGAAAUGCGUAGAUAUAGGAAGGAACAC